Molecule: long non-coding RNA, 632 nt
Filed under: Brassica napus (rape)
Lineage: Eukaryota; Viridiplantae; Streptophyta; Magnoliopsida; Brassicales; Brassicaceae
Description: long non-coding RNA (BNAP_LNC009779)
Source: RNAcentral
CGAGAGAACGAUCUGCGCCGAGUGAGGAGAUCGAGCGAGUGACCGCGAGAGAUCGAGCCAAGGUACUGCGAGAGAUCGAGCCAAGCGAUUGUGCGAGAACGAUCUGCACUGAGUGACCACGAGAGAUCGAGUCGAGCGACCGCGAGAAAACGAUCUACGCCGAGUGACGACAGAACGGUCGAGUGACGAUAAAACGAUCAAGUGAUGACAGAACGGUCGAGUGACGACAGAACGGUCGAGUGACGACAGAACGGUCGAGUGACGACAGAACGAUCUGCGCCGAGUGAGGAGAGAGAGCGAGUGACCGCCAGGGAUCGAGCCAAGCGACUGCGCUAGAACGAUCUGCACCAACCGUGGGGCAUGGGGAUGUAACUUCGAAGAAGAUUAAACUGGAGUCUGUUCUGUUGUCGUACGAUCGUUUUGUCGUCACUCGACUGUUCUGUCGUCACUCGGCGCAGAUCGUUCUCUCGCAGUCGCUCGACUCGAUCUCUCGUGGUCACUCGGCGCAGAUCAUUUUCGUGCAGUCGCUUGGCUCGAUCUCUCGCGGUCACUCGCUCGCUCUCCUCACUAGGCGCAGAUCGUUCUGUCGUCACUCGACCGUUCUGUCGUCACUCGACCGUUCUGUCAUCACU